UGCGGCCUUGCGACGGCUUGGACAGGCAAGCUCCAUGAGGCGGCGACCAUGGCAGGAUCCGGCGGGUUCUGCACGGGGACGGCGAGGGUGACAGGGUCCUGGCCGGAGGCGACGGGGACGAACCAGAUCGGGCAUGAUCCGGGGGCGUCCAUCCCGUUCCCAAAGGCGGCGAGGUCUAGGCUUGACGUCCAUGGCGGCGAUUUAGGACCUCCUCUGCUGUUCCUGCGGGUCACAGAAGAGGGAGAGAUAAAACGUGAGGGAGAGAGGAAGGUAGGCAGAGAGAUGGAGAGGCGGAGGAAGGGCGGCUCGAGGGGACCAGCCUGGUCGGCCUGCUGGUGGAGCUCCGAGGAGGCCGGUCGGCAAGGUGAAGUUGGGGCUCCGGCCAGCACGGCGGGAGCUACUACUCCUGCUUGUUGCCGGGCUACUGGUAGGCGGACACGUCCACGGGGAGAGGAGCCGCGGGAUGGAUUUGGCUGCAGUUUUGCUUGGCGGAGAAAACGAGGUGGGCGGCGGCGGCUGCGGGACAAGACCCCUAGGAGUUAGGGUUUG
Molecule: long non-coding RNA, 549 nt
Filed under: Hordeum vulgare
Lineage: Eukaryota; Viridiplantae; Streptophyta; Magnoliopsida; Poales; Poaceae
Description: long non-coding RNA (HVUL_LNC001484)
Source: RNAcentral